AGUGAACGCUGGCGGUAGGCCUAACACAUGCAAGUCGAACGGCAGCACAGUAAGAGCUUGCUCUUACGGGUGGCGAGUGGCGGACGGGUGAGGAAUACAUCGGAAUCUACUUUUUCGUGGGGGAUAACGUAGGGAAACUUACGCUAAUACCGCAUACGACCUACGGGUGAAAGCAGGGGAUCUUCGGACCUUGCGCGAUUGAAUGAGCCGAUGUCGGAUUAGCUAGUUGGCGGGGUAAAGGCCCACCAAGGCGACGAUCCGUAGCUGGUCUGAGAGGAUGAUCAGCCACACUGGAACUGGGACACGGUCCAGACUCCUACGGGAGGCAGCAGUGGGGAAUAUUGGACAAUGGGCGCAAGCCUGAUCCAACCAUACCGCGUGGGUGGAGAAGGCCUUCGGGUUGUAAAGCCCUUUUGUUGGGAAAGAAAAGCAGCAGGUUAAUACCCCGCUGUUCUGACGGUACCCAAAGAAUAAGCACCGGCUAACUUCGUG
This 492-nucleotide ribosomal RNA is filed under the name uncultured bacterium. RNAcentral describes it as "partial 16S ribosomal RNA". It matches the Rfam family "Bacterial small subunit ribosomal RNA", at positions 29 to 507 of the family's 1533-position model. The record is from RNAcentral.